RNAcentral lists this ribosomal RNA (370 nucleotides) under uncultured bacterium. RNAcentral's name for it is "bacterial SSU rRNA". It matches the Rfam family "Bacterial small subunit ribosomal RNA", at positions 527 to 896 of the family's 1533-position model. The record is from RNAcentral.
GUAGGGUGCAGGCGUUAAUCGGAAUUACUGGGCGUAAAGCGUGCGCAGGCGGUUUCUUAAGUCAGAUGUGAAAGCCCCGGGCUCAACCUGGGAACUGCGUUUGAAACUGGGAGACUCGAGUAUGUCAGAGGGGGGUGGAAUUCCACGUGUAGCAGUGAAAUGCGUAGAGAUGUGGAGGAACACCGAUGGCGAGGGCAGCCCCCUGGGAUAAUACUGACGCUCAUGCACGAAAGCGUGGGGAGCAAACAGGAUUAGAUACCCUGGUAGUCCACGCCCUAAACGAUGUCAACUGGUUGUUGGGGAACUUAAUUCCUUAGUAACGAAGCUAACGCGUGAAGUUGACCGCCUGGGGAGUACGGCCGCAAGGUUA